GAUGAGAACGCAGCGAAAUGCGAUAAGUAGUGUGAAUUGCAGAAUUCAGUGAAUCAUCGAAUCUUUGAACGCACAUUGCGCCCCUUGGUAUUCCAUGGGGCAUGCCUGUUCGAGCGUCAUUUGUACCUUCAAGCUUUGCUUGGUGUUGGGUGUUUGUCCAUUCUCUUGCAGAGGGACUCGCCUUAAAGUAAUUGGCAGCCAGUGUUUUGGUUUUGAAGCGCAGCACAAGUCGCGAUUCAACGCUAUACGCCAGCUUCCACAAGCCUUUUUCACUUUUGACCUCGGAUCAGGUAGGGAUACCCGCUGAACUUAAGCAUAUCAAUAAGCGGAGGA
Molecule: unclassified non-coding RNA, 333 nt
Filed under: soil metagenome
Description: partial contains 5.8S ribosomal RNA, internal transcribed spacer 2, and large subunit ribosomal RNA
Rfam family: 5.8S ribosomal RNA (bases 5-119)
Source: RNAcentral